UACGUAGGGGGCAAGCGUUGUCCGGAAUCAUUGGGCGUAAAGCGAGCGUAGGCGGUCGGGUAAGUCCCGUGUGAAAGUCAGAGGCUCAACCGUUGAAGGUCGCGGGAUACUGCCUGACUAGAGUCCGGAAGAGGCGAGGGGAAUUCCUGGUGUAGCGGGGAAAUGGGCAGAUAUCAGGAGGAAAAUCCAUGGCGGAGGCAGCUCGCUGGGACGGUACUGACGCUAAGGCGCGAAAGCGUGAGGAGCGAACAGG
RNAcentral lists this ribosomal RNA (253 nucleotides) under uncultured bacterium. Its description in RNAcentral is "partial 16S ribosomal RNA". It matches the Rfam family "Bacterial small subunit ribosomal RNA", at positions 524 to 776 of the family's 1533-position model. The record is from RNAcentral.